Molecule: transfer RNA, 72 nt
Filed under: Sphaerodactylus townsendi
Lineage: Eukaryota; Metazoa; Chordata; Lepidosauria; Squamata; Sphaerodactylidae
Description: tRNA-Val
Rfam family: tRNA
About the family: Transfer RNA (tRNA) molecules are approximately 80 nucleotides in length.
Source: RNAcentral
GGGGCUAUGGCUCAGUGGUAGAGCAUCUGGUUCACAAGCAGAAGGUCCCCGGUUCAAUCCCCCGAAGCUCCA